Molecule: ribosomal RNA, 465 nt
Filed under: Vreelandella stevensii
Lineage: Bacteria; Pseudomonadati; Pseudomonadota; Gammaproteobacteria; Oceanospirillales; Halomonadaceae
Description: partial 16S ribosomal RNA
Rfam family: Bacterial small subunit ribosomal RNA
Source: RNAcentral
CCUACGGGGGGCUGCAGUGGGGAAUAUUGGACAAUGGGCGAAAGCCUGAUCCGGCCAUGCCGCGUGUGUGAAGAAGGCCUUCGGGUUGUAAAGCACUUUCAGUGGGGAAGAAAGCCUUGGGGCUAAUACCCUCGAGGAAGGACAUCACCCACAGAAGAAGCACCGGCUAACUCCGUGCCAGCAGCCGCGGUAAUACGGAGGGUGCGAGCGUUAAUCGGAAUUACUGGGCGUAAAGCGCGCGUAGGCGGUCUGAUAAGCCGGUUGUGAAAGCCCCGGGCUCAACCUGGGAACGGCAUCCGGAACUGUCAGGCUAGAGUGCAGGAGAGGAAGGUAGAAUUCCCGGUGUAGCGGUGAAAUGCGUAGAGAUCGGGAGGAAUACCAGUGGCGAAGGCGGCCUUCUGGACUGACACUGACGCUGAGGUGCGAAAGCGUGGGUAGCAAACAGGAUUAGAUACCCGGGUAGUC